Molecule: ribosomal RNA, 874 nt
Filed under: uncultured marine bacterium
Lineage: Bacteria
Description: bacterial SSU rRNA
Rfam family: Bacterial small subunit ribosomal RNA
Source: RNAcentral
CUGGCGGCAGGCCUAACACAUGCAAGUCGAGCGCUCACUUCGGUGGGAGCGGCGGACGGGUUAGUAACGCGUGGGAAUAUGCCCGGUACUAAGGAAUAGCCUUUGGAAACGAAGAGUAAUACCUUAUACGCCCUUCGGGGGAAAGAUUUAUCGGUAUCGGAUUAGCCCGCGUAAGAUUAGAUAGUUGGUGGGGUAAUGGCCUACCAAGUCUACGAUCUUUAGCUGGUUUUAGAGGAUGAUCAGCAACACUGGGACUGAGACACGGCCCAGACUCCUACGGGAGGCAGCAGUGGGGAAUCUUAGACAAUGGGCGCAAGCCUGAUCUAGCCAUGCCGCGUGAGUGAAGAAGGCCUUAGGGUCGUAAAACUCUUUCGCCAGAGAUGAUAAUGACAGUAUCUGGUAAAGAAACCCCGGCUAACUCCGUGCCAGCAGCCGCGGUAAUACGGAGGGGGUUAGCGUUGUUCGGAAUUACUGGGCGUAAAGCGCACGUAGGCGGACUGGAAAGUUGGGGGUGAAAUCCCGGGGCUCAACCUCGGAACUGCCUCCAAAACUAUCAGUCUAGAGUUCGAGAGAGGUGAGUGGAAUUCCAAGUGUAGAGGUGAAAUUCGUAGAUAUUUGGAGGAACACCAGUGGCGAAAGCGGCUCACUGGCUCGAUACUGACGCUGAGGUGCGAAAGUGUGGGGAGCAAACAGGAUUAGAUACCCUGGUAGUCCACACCGUAAACGAUGAAUGCCAGUCGUCGGCAAGUAUACUUGUCGGUGACACACCUAACGGAUUAAGCAUUCCGCCUGGGGAGUACGGUCGCAAGAUUAAAACUCAAAGGAAUUGACGGGGGCCCGCACAAGCCGUGGAGCAUGUGGUUUAAUUCGAAGC